GUGGAUUAGAUACCCUGGUAGUCCACGCUGUAAACGAUGGAUACUAGCUGUUGGGGGUAACUUCAGUGGCUAAGCGAAAGUGAUAAGUAUCCCACCUGGGGAGUACGAACGCAAGUUUGAAACUCAAAGGAAUUGACGGGGGCCCGCACAAGCGGUGGAGCAUGUGGUUUAAUUCGAUGAUACGCGAGGAACCUUACCAAGGCUUAAAUGUAGAUUGACGUAUUUGGAAACAGAUAUUUCUUCGGACAAUUUACAAGGUGCUGCAUGGCCGUCGCCAGCU
This 280-nucleotide ribosomal RNA is filed under the name uncultured bacterium. RNAcentral's name for it is "partial 16S ribosomal RNA". It matches the Rfam family "Bacterial small subunit ribosomal RNA", at positions 773 to 1060 of the family's 1533-position model. The record is from RNAcentral.